RNAcentral lists this long non-coding RNA (797 nucleotides) under Phaseolus vulgaris (common bean). RNAcentral's name for it is "long non-coding RNA (PVUL_LNC004785)". Lineage: Eukaryota; Viridiplantae; Streptophyta; Magnoliopsida; Fabales; Fabaceae. The record is from RNAcentral.
UAAAUAAAUUUAAUCAAAUAAAGACUACUUCAGUCAAUUUUCACUGUAUUUAAUCACCUAUUGCAAGAGCAAAACUAGAAUAGUAUUACUAAUCCAUAAUUCAAUCCCAGUUACUUAGGCAUUUUACAAGUGAAAUGCAAAGUUAUCUGUCAAUACUAAGGUUUUUUAAAGAGAAGUACACAUACACAUCAAAAUGUACUACUCAUUCAAAUAACUAUUAGAUAAUCAUGAACAGUAUGUUCAUACAAGUAAGAGCCCUAUCAGAAAGAACAGUGUCUUGCAUACCAAAAUCCAAAUCACCACAGGAAAGGGGGCAAAAAGGUCGAUUCCAUAGGACACUAGAAUUGAUUGAAGUAGCGAUUGGUGUCUGGCAAUGAAUUUUAAUGAUUUAAUCACAGAAUUAGUAAUGAACAACCAACGGGGCUCUGGCAAAAGAAAUGCCAAGUGUGAAAAGAAUAGGGAGAGGCUUGUUUAAUUUUGAUCUUCCUCUGAAAACAGAUCACAAAAUGAUUCAUCGAAUCCGAUCCUUCACUUUCAAGACCAGGAAUUUCAAAUUUACACCACUUUGAAUUGGCAUAAUCAACGCCACAACUUCAAAGUCAAGAAUCCUCAUCAUUCCAAUUAAAACUGCAUUGGGAGAAAACAUGAAUGCAGUUUCACCUUUCAAAAACAUUUGUAAACAAAGAAAAUUAGGUACACAAAAAAUCACAUGAAGUGUUUAGGCGAAGAAAUCAAAUUUUUACCCGUGCUUAUUAUUAGAUGCAAAGAAAGAGAAUCCUUUUGAUCCAAGACAAAAU